This 436-nucleotide ribosomal RNA is filed under the name Koonunga cursor. RNAcentral's name for it is "partial 16S ribosomal RNA". It matches the Rfam family "Bacterial large subunit ribosomal RNA", at positions 1924 to 2569 of the family's 2925-position model. Lineage: Eukaryota; Metazoa; Arthropoda; Malacostraca; Anaspidacea; Koonungidae. The record is from RNAcentral.
UAAAGGGCUGCGGUAUUUUAACCGUGCGAAGGUAGCAUAAUCAUUAGUCUUUUAAUUUGAGGCUGGAAUGAAUGGCUGGUCAAAAAAUAAUCUGUCUCUAUAUUAUAAUUAAAAUUUAAUUUUUAAGUGAAAAAGCUUAAAUAACACAGAGUGACGAUAAGACCCUAUAAAGCUUUACAAUUUAUUAGGUAAAAAAAAGGUAAUUAUAAAUUAUUUAUUUAAAGUUUGUUAUAUUGGGGUGAUAUAAAUACAAAAAGUAACUGUUUAUAAAUUAAAUCUAAAAUAAUAGGUAGGUUGAUGAGCCAAAUAUAAUGGUUAGGAGAAAAAGUUACUUUAGGGAUAACAGCGUAAUUUUUUUUAAGAGUUCUUAUCGACAAAAAUAGUUGCGACCUCGAUGUUGAAUUAAAAUUUCUUUAUAAAUGUAGAUGUUAUAAAA